RNAcentral lists this long non-coding RNA (447 nucleotides) under Vigna radiata. Its description in RNAcentral is "long non-coding RNA (VRAD_LNC016889)". Lineage: Eukaryota; Viridiplantae; Streptophyta; Magnoliopsida; Fabales; Fabaceae. The record is from RNAcentral.
AUUGGUCCACGUAAUGUUUAGACAUACAAAAUGUAAAGUUAAUGAUGGAUGUUACAGAAUUAAUUGAAGACAUUAUAUGAAUAUUAUAAGGUUGCUGUGGAGGAAUUUGAGGGAAAAGGUUGGUGGAUAUGUGGGUUAGUUCGAGUUUUUGGAAAGUUAAAUAUAAGAAAAGGCAGAUGAGAAAGGCAAUUAGCUUUUUUGCUGCAAAAAAGUCAAAUAGGGCCUCUAUCACCCAUCAUAAUGAUAUCUUCCCCGUCGAUGCAGAGAGUGUGUGAUAGAUUUGCACCCAAGAUUCAUCAUCAUUGUCCUCUGAUAUUUCUUUUUAAAAUAUAUGGUGCCCCGAAAGAGAUCAUGUGAUAAAAAAAUAACCCUACUAAGAGGAAAUGAUGUAUAUAUGUAUCACUCCCUCUCUUUUUUACUUUCUUUUGAGGGAAUCAAUGGUGAAUU